UACGGGAGGCAGCAGUGGGGAAUAUUGGACAAUGGGCGGAAGCCUGAUCCAGCCAUGCCGCGUGUGUGAAGAAGGCCUUUUGGUUGUAAAGCACUUUAAGCGAGGAGGAGGCUCUCCUAGUUAAUACCUAGGAAGAGUGGACGUUACUCGCAGAAUAAGCACCGGCUAACUCUGUGCCAGCAGCCGCGGUAAUACAGAGGGUGCGAGCGUUAAUCGGAUUUACUGGGCGUAAAGCGUGCGUAGGCGGCUGAUUAAGUCGGAUGUGAAAUCCCUGAGCUUAACUUAGGAAUUGCAUUCGAUACUGGUCAGCUAGAGUAUGGGAGAGGAUGGUAGAAUUCCAGGUGUAGCGGUGAAAUGCGUAGAGAUCUGGAGGAAUACCGAUGGGCGAAGGCAGCCAUCUGGCCUAAUACUGACGCUGAGGUCGAAAGCAUGGGGAAGCAAACGAGGAUUAGGAAUAACC
This 460-nucleotide ribosomal RNA is filed under the name uncultured bacterium. RNAcentral describes it as "bacterial SSU rRNA". It matches the Rfam family "Bacterial small subunit ribosomal RNA", at positions 340 to 787 of the family's 1533-position model. The record is from RNAcentral.